GUGCUCGCUUUGGCAGCACAUAUACUAAAAUUGGAAUAACACAGAGAAGAUUAGCACAGCCCCUGCACAAAGAUGAUACGUAAAUUCAUGAAGCAUUCCAUAUUUUA
Small nuclear RNA from Neogale vison (American mink), 107 nucleotides. The record is from Ensembl. Lineage: Eukaryota; Metazoa; Chordata; Mammalia; Carnivora; Mustelidae.